CAGUAGCCGCGGGAAUACGGAGGGUGCAAGCGUUAAUCGGAAUUACUGGGCGUAAAGCGCACGCAGGCGGUCUGACAAGUCAGAUGUGAAAUCCCCGGGCUUAACCUGGGAACUGCAUUUGAAACUGUCAGGCUGGAGUCUUGUAGAGGGGGGUAGAAUUCCAGGUGUAGCGGUGAAAUGCGUAGAGAUCUGGAGGAAUACCGGUGGCGAAGGCGGCCCCCUGGACAAAGACUGACGCUCAGGUGCGAAAGCGUGGGGAGCAAACAGGAUUAGAUACCCCAGUAGUCCCUGUCUCUUAUAA
RNAcentral lists this ribosomal RNA (301 nucleotides) under uncultured bacterium. RNAcentral describes it as "partial 16S ribosomal RNA". It matches the Rfam family "Bacterial small subunit ribosomal RNA", at positions 509 to 809 of the family's 1533-position model. The record is from RNAcentral.